AGUAUAAUGUCUGAUUAAAGGAUUUCUUUGAUAUGGAAAAGCAAGUGUGUUAUCACACUUAUACUA
Molecule: transfer RNA, 66 nt
Filed under: Trypaea australiensis
Lineage: Eukaryota; Metazoa; Arthropoda; Malacostraca; Decapoda; Callianassidae
Description: tRNA-Ile
Source: RNAcentral